ACAGCAGCAGCCGCGGGAAUACGAAGGGUGCAGGCGUUAAUCGGAAUUACUGGGCGUAAAGCGUGCGUAGGCGGUGAGUUAAGUCUGCUGUGAAAUCCCCGGGCUCAACCUGGGAAUGGCAGUGGAUACUGGCCCGCUAGAGUGUGUCAGAGGAUGGUGGAAUUCCCGGUGUAGCGGUGAAAUGCGUAGAGAUCGGGAGGAACAUCAGUGGCGAAGGCGGCCAUCUGGGACAACACUGACGCUGAGGCACGAAAGCGUGGGGAGCAAACAGGUUUAGAGACCCCCGUAGUCCCUGUCUCUUAUAC
This 305-nucleotide ribosomal RNA is filed under the name uncultured bacterium. Its description in RNAcentral is "partial 16S ribosomal RNA". It matches the Rfam family "Bacterial small subunit ribosomal RNA", at positions 505 to 807 of the family's 1533-position model. The record is from RNAcentral.